GCUGGCGGCGUGCUUAACACAUGCAAGUCGAACGAACCUUCGGGUUAGUGGCGGACGGGUGAGUAACGCGUGGGAAUCUGCCCUCAGGAGGGGGAUAACGGUUGGAAACGACCGCUAAUACCCCAUAUGCCGAGAGGUGAAAUGAAUUUCGCCUGAGGAUGAGCCCGCGUCUGAUUAGCUUGUUGGUGAGGUAAUGGCUCACCAAGGCAUCGAUCAGUAGCUGGUCUGAGAGGAUGAUCAGCCACACUGGGACUGAGACACGGCCCAGACUCCUACGGGAGGCAGCAGUGGGGAAUUUUCCGCAAUGGGCGAAAGCCUGACGGAGCAACGCCGCGUGAGGGACGAAGGCCUCUGGGCUGUAAACCUCUUUUCUCAAGGAAGAAGAUAUGACGGUACUUGAGGAAUAAGCCACGGCUAAUUCCGUGCCAGCAGCCGCGGUAAUACGGGAGUGGCAAGCGUUAUCCGGAAUUAUUGGGCGUAAAGCGUCCGCAGGCGGCCUUUCAAGUCUGCUGUUAAAACGUGGAGCUUAACUCCAUCAUGGCAGUGGAAACUGAUUGGCUUGAGUAUGGUAGGGGCAGAGGGAAUUCCCGGUGUAGCGGUGAAAUGCGUAGAUAUCGGGAAGAACACCAGUGGCGAAGGCGCUCUGCUGGGCCAUUACUGACGCUCAUGGACGAAAGCCAGGGGAGCGAAAGGGAUUAGAUACCCCUGUAGUCCUGGCCGUAAACGAUGAACACUAGGUGUCGGGGGAAUCGACCCCUUCGGUGUCGUAGCUAACGCGUUAAGUGUUCCGCCUGGGGAGUACGCAC
This 806-nucleotide ribosomal RNA is filed under the name uncultured cyanobacterium. RNAcentral's name for it is "bacterial SSU rRNA". It matches the Rfam family "Bacterial small subunit ribosomal RNA", at positions 35 to 887 of the family's 1533-position model. Lineage: Bacteria; Bacillati; Cyanobacteriota. The record is from RNAcentral.